UACGUAGGGAGCAAGCGUUGUCCGGAAUCAUUGGGCGUAAAGAGCUCGUAGGCGGCUUGUCACGUCUGCUGUGAAAUCCCGGGGCUCAACCCCGGGCGUGCAGUGGAUACGGGCUGGCUAGAGGCAGGCAGGGGAGAACGGAAUUCCCGGUGUAGCGGUGAAAUGCGCAGAUAUCAGGAGGAACACCAAUGGCGAAGGCAGCACUCUGGGACGUGACUGACGCUGAGACGCGAAAGCGUGGGGAGCAAACAGG
RNAcentral lists this ribosomal RNA (253 nucleotides) under uncultured bacterium. RNAcentral describes it as "partial 16S ribosomal RNA". It matches the Rfam family "Bacterial small subunit ribosomal RNA", at positions 524 to 776 of the family's 1533-position model. The record is from RNAcentral.